RNAcentral lists this transfer RNA (83 nucleotides) under Canis lupus familiaris (dog). It matches the Rfam family "tRNA". From Rfam's summary of the family: Transfer RNA (tRNA) molecules are approximately 80 nucleotides in length. Their secondary structure includes four short double-helical elements and three loops (D, anti-codon, and T loops). The record is from Rfam by way of RNAcentral. Lineage: Eukaryota; Metazoa; Chordata; Mammalia; Carnivora; Canidae. RNAcentral also lists the same sequence under 1 other name.
GCCUACAUGGCUCAGCGGUUGAGCAUCUGUCUUGCGCUCAGGUUGUGAUCCCCGGGUCCUGGGAUCGAGUCCCAGAUCAGGCU